RNAcentral lists this ribosomal RNA (394 nucleotides) under Pseudomonas sp. SK256-N1. Its description in RNAcentral is "bacterial SSU rRNA". It matches the Rfam family "Bacterial small subunit ribosomal RNA", at positions 33 to 429 of the family's 1533-position model. Lineage: Bacteria; Pseudomonadati; Pseudomonadota; Gammaproteobacteria; Pseudomonadales; Pseudomonadaceae. The record is from RNAcentral.
ACGCUGGCGGCAGGCCUAUCACAUGCAAGUCGAGCGGUAGAGAGAAGCUUGCUUCUCUUGAGAGCGGCGGACGGGUGAGUAAUGCCUAGGAAUCUGCCUGGUAGUGGGGGAUAACGUUCGGAAACGGACGCUAAUACCGCAUACGUCCUACGGGAGAAAGCAGGGGACCUUCGGGCCUUGCGCUAUCAGAUGAGCCUAGGUCGGAUUAGCUAGUUGGUGAGGUAAUGGCUCACCAAGGCGACGAUCCGUAACUGGUCUGAGAGGAUGAUCAGUCACACUGGAACUGAGACACGGUCCAGACUCCUACGGGAGGCAGCAGUGGGGAAUAUUGGACAAUGGGCGAAAGCCUGAUCCAGCCAUGCCGCGUGUGUGAAGAAGGUCUUCGGAUUGUAAA